GAAUAGUUGGAAGUGCUGCUUUCACUGGAAGUCAUAUAUGGAUUCAUCGAGAAAACGGCAUGGGGGAAGGUCAUCCAUAUGAGGUUAUGGCUGAGGUGAACCACCAAUUUUCAGCUGGCAUGCAGACAUUUAUAGCAUUCCUGU
Molecule: long non-coding RNA, 144 nt
Organism: Telopea speciosissima
Lineage: Eukaryota; Viridiplantae; Streptophyta; Magnoliopsida; Proteales; Proteaceae
Exons: 4
Source: RefSeq, a predicted model, not a curated record